UCAAAUUAAAAUAAAUUGGAAUCGAUUAUUAAUAGCGUAGGUUUGAUGAUAAAACGUGUCAAUAUCUUUAUUGAUCAGAAAUAUUAAAAAAAUGAAUUCCUGUCUUGUAAAAAUUAAUGUUAUUAUUUCCUUUUAGCGUGUGUAAUAUUUAAUUAUCUCGGUUAGAUACGGAAUAUGCUGUGAGUUCUACCUGUUAAAAUCAUAUAAAUACGCCGACAACAUAGAAAUUCUUAACAGAUUUAAUAAAGACAUCAACGAAUAUGAAGCUUACGUUGGAGUUAUUUAUAUUUGCUUUUGCUUUUUCUCCAAUUAUUUGUUGGCACGAUUCAACAAAUGUUAGACCUGCGGAUCCUUACAAAGCUCUUAUACAGUCCAAUGGACGAUACUGUGCCAUGAGCGAUGAUGAUAGGGAUGAUGUUAAUUUUUGCUUGUUGGAAAACAGAAAUUUUCUUUUGUUGGAAUUCUACAAAAACUGUAUUCAGCAACUGAAAUUCUUUCAAACUAUGGCAGAAAUCAACAAUUUCAUUUGUCAAUCCAGACAAACAGCGCCACGAGUAAUUCAUUCAAAUUUUAAAACAUUAUAAUAGCUAUUAUUAACUUCAAAAUGUUACAACCAAAUAGAAAAUCGUUCACAGAAAUCAAUAACAUUAGAUCAUCCACAUCAACAGAAAUCAAUAACAUUAGAUCAUCCACAUCAACAGAAAUUUGUAUUGAUCUAAAUUGUUCUUAAUGAUUGCUGUUUAAGUUAGAUUGCCA
This 756-nucleotide unclassified non-coding RNA is filed under the name Centruroides sculpturatus (bark scorpion). RNAcentral's name for it is "uncharacterized LOC111620436, transcript variant X2". Lineage: Eukaryota; Metazoa; Arthropoda; Arachnida; Scorpiones; Buthidae. The record is from RNAcentral.